UCAGGUGGCCGCAGAGAAUAGGCCCAAGCGACUGUUUACCAAAAACAUAGGGUUCUGCUAAGUCGCAAGACGAUGUAUAGGAGCUGACGCCUGUCCGGUGCUGGAAGGUUAAGGGGAUCGGUUAGAGUAAUCGAAGCAGUGAACUUAAGCCCCAGUAAACGGCUGCCGUAACUAUAACGGUCCUAAGGUAGCGAAAUGCCUUGUCGGGUAAGUUCCGACCCGCACGAAAGGCGUAACGAUUUGGGCACUGUCUCAACAACAGACUCGGUGAAAUUGUACUGCCGGUGAAGAUGCCGGAUACCUGCGACAGGACGGAAAGACCCCA
RNAcentral lists this ribosomal RNA (325 nucleotides) under Clostridioides difficile. RNAcentral describes it as "bacterial LSU rRNA". It matches the Rfam family "Bacterial large subunit ribosomal RNA", at positions 1769 to 2093 of the family's 2925-position model. The record is from RNAcentral. Lineage: Bacteria; Bacillati; Bacillota; Clostridia; Peptostreptococcales; Peptostreptococcaceae.